AGACAGCAGCCGCCACGGUAAUACGUAGGUGGCAAGCGUUGUCCGGAAUUAUUGGGCGUAAAGCGCGCGCAGGCGGAUAGGUCAGUCUGUCUUAAAAGUUCGGGGCUUAACCCCGUGAUGGGAUGGAAACUGCCAAUCUAGAGUAUCGGAGAGGAAAGUGGAAUUCCUAGUGUAGCGGUGAAAUGCGUAGAUAUUAGGAAGAACACCAGUGGCGAAGGCGACUUUCUGGACGAAAACUGACGCUGAGGCGCGAAAGCCAGGGGAGCGAACGGGAUUAGAUACCCCCGUAGUCCCUGUCUCUUAUACA
This 307-nucleotide ribosomal RNA is filed under the name uncultured bacterium. Its description in RNAcentral is "partial 16S ribosomal RNA". It matches the Rfam family "Bacterial small subunit ribosomal RNA", at positions 506 to 809 of the family's 1533-position model. The record is from RNAcentral.